GAGUUCUUUUAUUUUUCACAGUUCAUUCUUCAUUCUUUUGCAUACCAUUGUUCUCUUUUCUUUAUUUCUUUCCGCUCAUUUAUCUUUAUGCAGUAGUUUUUGGCAAUUAUCAUAAUAUUUGUUAACCCCAUUCAGACCAUCCACGAGGAGCGAAAAUAAAAAAAAAAACAAAUACAAUAGAUAAUUUAUGUGAUGUGAGCUGGCUGCGGGAAUAACAUCUCUUGAUAGACAAAUAAAUAAACUCAUUAUAGAUACCAG
Molecule: long non-coding RNA, 258 nt
Filed under: Mytilus galloprovincialis (Mediterranean mussel)
Lineage: Eukaryota; Metazoa; Mollusca; Bivalvia; Mytilida; Mytilidae
Source: RNAcentral